CCUACGGGUGGCAGCAGUAGGGAAUUUUGCGCAAUGGGGGAAACCCUGACGCAGCAACGCCGCGUGAUCGAUGAAGCCCUUCGGGGUGUAAAGAUCUGUCAGUGGGGACGAAACCUGACGGUACCCACAGAGGAAGCACCGGCUAACUCCGUGCCAGCAGCCGCGGUAAUACGGGGGGUGCAAGCGUUGUCCGGAAUCAUUGGGCGUAAAGGGUUCGUAGGUGGCACGUUAAGUCUGGUGUUAAAGGCGGAAGCUCAACUUCCGUAGGGCACUGGAUACUGGCGAGCUUGAAUGCGGUAGAGGUAAAGGGAAUUCCUGGUGUAGCGGUGAAAUGCGUAGAUAUCAGGAGGAACACCGGCGGCGAAGGCGGCCUGCUGGACCGCGACUGACGUUGAGGCUCGAAAGCGUGGGGAGCGAACAGGAUUAGAUACCCCUGUAGUC
Molecule: ribosomal RNA, 441 nt
Filed under: uncultured bacterium
Lineage: Bacteria
Description: partial 16S ribosomal RNA
Rfam family: Bacterial small subunit ribosomal RNA
Source: RNAcentral